GACGAACGCUGGCGGCGUGCCUAAUACAUGCAAGUAGAACGCUGAAGAGCGGAGCUUGCUCUUCUUGGAUGAGUUGCGAACGGGUGAGUAACGCGUAGGUAACCUGCCUUGUAGCGGGGGAUAACUAUUGGAAACGAUAGCUAAUACCGCAUAACAAUGGAUGACACAUGUCAUUUAUUUGAAAGGGGCAAUUGCUCCACUACAAGAUGGACCUGCGUUGUAUUAGCUAGUAGGUGAGGUAAUGGCUCACCUAGGCGGCGAUACAUAGCCGACCUGAGAGGGUGAUCGGCCACACUGGGACUGAGACACGGCCCAGACUCCUACGGGAGGCAGCAGUAGGGAAUCUUCGGCAAUGGGGGCAACCCUGACCGAGCAACGCCGCGUGAGUGAAGAAGGUUUUCGGAUCGUAAAGCUCUGUUGUAAGUCAAGAACGGGUGUGAGAGUGGAAAGUUCACACUGUGACGGUAGCUUACCAGAAAGGGACGGCUAACUACGUG
RNAcentral lists this ribosomal RNA (497 nucleotides) under uncultured bacterium. Its description in RNAcentral is "partial 16S ribosomal RNA". It matches the Rfam family "Bacterial small subunit ribosomal RNA", at positions 28 to 507 of the family's 1533-position model. The record is from RNAcentral.